RNAcentral lists this ribosomal RNA (253 nucleotides) under uncultured bacterium. RNAcentral describes it as "partial 16S ribosomal RNA". It matches the Rfam family "Bacterial small subunit ribosomal RNA", at positions 524 to 776 of the family's 1533-position model. The record is from RNAcentral.
GACGAAGGGGGCUAGCGUUGUUCGGAAUUACUGGGCGUAAGGCGCGUGUAGGCGGUUGGUCAAGUCGGGUGUGAAAGCCUUGAGCUCAACUCAAGAAAUGCACUCGAUACUGGAUGACUAGAGGACCGGAGAGGAUAGUGGAAUUCCCAGUGUAGUGGUGAAAUACGUAGAGAUUGGGAAGAACACCAGUGGCGAAGGCGGCUAUCUGGACGGUUUCUGACGCUAAGACGCGAAAGCGUGGGGAGCAAACAGG